AGUCCCUCAUCCCCUAGGAAGAAUGCCUGUGUGCACAAAACGCGUGUGUUCACCGCAAAGUUGUGAAAAAUUUGAUGGGUAAGGACAAUAUCAGGCACAUUGCGCUAAACAACUAAAGCUUUCCUGCUGUGGAAUGUUGACCCUGGAAUCUACAAUUGACAACAUAAAAGGUGACCUUAAUCGAAGUUCUGCUCCUUCUGUGAAUAUUAUUAAAACCAGGACUCAGAAGGUUGGCGAAAGCUAGCAGUUCUGUGUAUAAUUCAGAUCUACAUGUUCCUCUGUGUAUAAUAUAGAUACACACAGUGCUGUCUGCAUUAUCCAAAAACGCAACAUACAAAUAUACGUGUAUAAAACAGAUUAGACAUACUGUUCUUUAUAUAAUACACAUACACAGGCUGCUCUGCAUAUAAUACUGACGCACAAGUUGCUUAUGCUCUGCUUAUGACACAGAUAUACACAAUGGUCUGCAUUUCAUUUAGAAACACUCACUGCUCUGCAUAUAAAACAGAUACACACACAGCACAGAUACACACUACCCUUCCUAGGAUACCCACUAAAUUGAGCCCUAUAUCUUACGGCAAGCCAAUGCAGGGACUGACAAAGGGGUGAGGUGCAGACAGGAAGAUGAGCCUCGCCACCGCAUUCAUUAUAGACUAUAACAGGACAAGUUGGGAGCACGUAAGACCACUGAGAAGCGGAUUACAGUAGUCAAGGCGAGAGAGGAAAGUGGCAUGGACCAGCACCUUAGCUGUGUCCAGCGUUAAAUGGAUACUAUAGUGCCAGGAAUACAAAGCUGUAUUCCUGGCACUAUCACUCCCCCUACCUUCCCCCUCCCUCGCCCCCCUCCCCAUCCCAGUAAAUAAAGUGUUAAAAACCUCUUUUUUUUUUUUUUAUGCUUACCUUCUCCGAGCGUUGAUGUCUCUCAGCGCUGGGUCAAUGCUUCACCCCCUCUGAUGUCCCACAACAAUCAGGCUCUAAUACGCAUUAUUAGCGGCGCACGCAUUAGACCUCCCCAUAGGAAAGCACUGAAUCAAUGCUUUCGUAUGGGGAAAAAUCUGAUGCUGGAUGUCCUCACGCAGAGCGUGAGGAUGUCCAGCGUCAGAUACCGGACCAAAGGUCUGUUUCAAUCCAGGAAGCCCUCUGGUAGACAGCCCCUAGAGGCAGACUUAGAGCUGCAAUGUAAACAAUGCAGUUUCUAUGGAACUUCAGUGUUUUACAUUGCAGCACUAAGUGCAAAAGGGCCACAGCACCCAGACCACUUCAAUGAGCUAAAGUGGUCUGGGUGCCUAUAAUGUCCCUUUAAGUAGGUGUGGAUGCGCACUAUGUUUUUGAGAAGGAAGCGGCAGGAUUUGACGAUCGACUGGACAUGAAGGAUGAAGGUAUGUUCAGAGUCAAAGAGAACACCUAGGCAGCAAGCCUGCGAGGUGGAGCUGAUGGCAGCGCCGUUAACGUAGAGGGAGACAGAAACAGGAGUAGCAACUCUUGAGGGAGACAAGAAGUUCUGUUUUGGACAGUUUAAGGAAGUGAGCGGAGACACGAGUCAAGAGAGGUGUCGAGAGAUCAGGAGAGGACAGAUAGAUUUGUGUGUCAUCCAUAGAAUAAUACAGAUACACACACAGCUCUGUGCAUAAUACAGACACACACUGCUCCGUGUAUAAGACAUAUACAAACAAUGCUCUGCAUGUAGUACAGAUACACACACUGUUCUGCGUAUAAUAUAGAUACAUAUUAGAUAGAUACAUAUGUUGCUCUGAGUAUAAUACAGAUAGACACACUAGUCUCUGUCAGAUACACACACUGCUUUGUGUGUAAUACAGAUAUUCACAUUGUUCUUCGUAUAAACAGAUACACACGCUGCUCUAUGAUUAAUAAAUACACACAAUGCUCUUUGUAUAAUGCAAAUGCACAUACUGCUCUGAAAAUAAUACAGAUACACACGUUGCUCUGCGUAUAAUACUGAUACACAUGUUGCUCUGCGUAUAAUACAGAUACACACGUUGCUCUGCGUAUUAUACUGAUACACAUGUUGCUCUGGGUAUAAUACUGAUACACAUGUUGCUCUGCGUAUAAUACAGAUACACACGUUGCUCUGCGUAUUAUACUGAUACACAUGUUGCUCUGCGUAUAAUACAGAUACACACGUUGCUCUGCGUAUUAUACUGAUACACAUGUUUCUCUGCGUAUAAUACUGAUACACACGUUGCUCUGCGUAUAAUACAGAUACACGCGUUGCUCUGCAUAUAAUACAGAUACACACGUUGCUCUGCGUAUAAUACAGAUGAACACGUUUUUUCUGUGUUGAAUACAGAACACAAACUGUGUAAUACUGUGUGCAAACACCUGUGUAUGAGCGAAUGCGUUUAAAUGAGGAAUUAUUGUUUUUAUUUGGUGAGAUAAAAAUUUUCUACUCGGGCAGGAAAUGACUUUCACUUUCUGUUCAUUUCUUGAGGCUGAGGAGGGAUUUAAAGAUCUGCGAGGAAUUUCUGAAAUGAUGCAAGAAAGAGGAUAAUGGAAUGAAGAGAGUGAGAGCAACAGGUGAAGAAUGAAGACGGAUUAGGGAAAGGAGAACAGUGGGGAGAGUGUGUACAGAUAUGAAUGAGUGGGGUCAGGUCAGGCUCUGGUAACAUUUGGCAGCUCAUCCGCUGCAGACUAUUACUCCCAUGUUUCUCAGCUUUCUGAAAUCUCUGGAAUGUCCACUGCUGUGAACUAAAACUCCUAUUAUGAAAAAUGAGUAGGGAUCUAGGUAAUCGAAUGACGAGUCUGGGAGAGUGAUACAAGCAGUAAACAAGUAAGCAAAGUUUGGGGAGACUAGAGAUAGAAAUCUAGGCUAUGAAAUACAUUAGGGAUGUGUACAUGGAGAAAUGAGUAGGGGUAUGGUAAACAAAGUGAUUGAUAGGGAGUUAUAAGCAGAAUGAACAAAGUAAAGAUGAGUCAAAGGACUAGCAAACGGGUGUAAAAGUACAGAUAGGAUGUGCAGGGAUAGCAAUGAGUGAAAUGAGUAGGGGAUUUAGGUUACAAUGUGAUACCAGUAGGGUACAGAGAGUAAGGGGAUGUGCAAGAAAUGUGAGAUACAGGACAAAUAGAGGUACAGACAGCAAUGGGAGGAAUGAGUAGGGGUUAGGAAGAAAUUGCAUAAGUGAAUAAUUUAAAGAGAAUCAGCCAUUUUUCAGUAUUUCAUAUAAUCUUUAUGAAAAACUGAUUAAGACUGCACUGGAACUUCAUUGAAACCCCAAAGCAAUCUAAAGAUACCAUUAAACAAAGUAGGAACUACUUAGUCUUAUGAUAAAGCCUGAGGUUGACAAAAGUUGAGAAAAGGUGGAGCUCUGCCGCCAAAUUUUGUCCAAUCCGAACAGCCGUCACAAAUGACAGCAGUGAGUUUCAGGCUCUGUCUAUGGAAGGUCCAUGCUGUCGUAGGGUCUUCCACAGACGUUUGUGUUGCAUUUUUACAAAUGCGUGAGAGUACAACACUGACAUGGCUUCUGUCAACUGAAGUAUCAGGAGCCAAAAAAGACUUGUAGUGUGAAGAAUGUUAUUAAAAUCAAACUCCAAUGCAACUUGUGGCCACCGGACCCAAACCGGAUCUGUUGGUUUUGGGAGUCUUCGCAAAAUAUGCUGAGACCCCCAAAAUUGACAGAUCCAGUUUAAGCAGGGCGCAUCAAGUAAAGACUAGAAAGAAAAUGAGAAACAGGAAUGUUAAGGACAGAUAGAUAAUAAAUACAAAUUGUGUUCUACUAACAGAAAAAAGAGAGAAUGAGAUACAAACAGCAUCGCUCGCAAGACUUUGUACGAAAAGAGUUAUACAUUCAUGUUAAACGUUGUAGUUAGAGGUCUAACCAAGAGCCAUGACUCUUCUGGGAUAUUUUAGAUGACUUCAUGAUCUACUAACAACCAUUUAUGGCAAUGUAUCUGUAGCAAAACCAAAAUCUCAUAUUUAUAUUGCAGAAUAAAAGCGCAGGACAUUUACAAUCACUAAAAUGUGGACUUCCUAAAAAAUAGGCACUCCGGGGAUUUGUGCUAAAAAUAUUGGCUUUCCAUCUGAGAAAGGGGCACGUGGCAGGUAUGCAACAAGGCAUGGCAAGUUAGAACCAGUCACAAAACCUUGAGACAGACAAGGUAAAGCCUGCAGACUGUAUGAAGCUGGCUUGUCAAUCAUGCUGCCCUCGAUUUGUGAUUUUACUUUAAAUGAAAAGUCACAAUUAGUUUCUGCAGAAAUAUUUUUUUCCCACUAUAUUAAUUUUUCCCUUAAUUAUUUUCUUGUUUUAUCAACGUUUGGAAAAUACAAAUGAUCUAGAAAAGAAUAAAAGUCAAAAAUAGAGAGGAAAAAAAAAAGAUUAUUCCAAACAAAAAGCACAAAAAAAGUUCUAAGUACAGAACUAAAAUGCACAGAUAGUCAUCAGUAGGCAAAACAUUGUGACUCUGCCCCCUGCUGGAUCACUUCUAUGUCUGGAAAAGUUAGGCACUGUUUGAAAGAGCCAGAACCGCAGUUUCAGCUGGCGUCUGGUGAGAAGAUUCAGCCAAGGAUCCCAAAUUUUAUGGACGUUAGGAAGUAUAACGUGUAGCACAGCUUCCAAAAUGGAAACUAUGAGCCAGAUUUUAAAGUUUGUAAUGGGGGAAGGAGGGGGCAAACACUUUCCAAAACCUGGCAAUACCCAUUCUUAUAACUUCCCAUGUAAAUGCCAAAUGUCAUUAGUUUGGAGUGCUGAUCACAUUUUUAUUGACAACUAGGCAAGUUAAGAACAACCAUCAUAGAAAGCUAUGUCCAUUGAGGUUUCAUCAAAGGGGAAAAAACACACUAGGUGUAACUAUAGGUACAAGGCCGCGUGAUACAAUUUUACAGGAUCUAAAUACCUUUUAGAACCUUUAAUAAAGUUAGGUUUAGUCUAUUGUCCUUUAUUACUGGCAUUUUCUUUGAAGGUACUUCAUUGUUAGAUACAUAAUCCUGAAAGCCCUCUUCUCAGUGUGUCUUCAAUGGUAGUUUUGUAUCAGGACCAUUUUUGUGGAUAACAUUGUUGCAAUAUUCUUUUGGUUCAAUUGUCAAUAAACAAAUCCAUAUCUUCCAAAAUUCAGAUGGCUCUUCGCAGAAUACAUGGUGGUGAAGUCUCUUGAAGGGCGAGUGUUGAACAGUGUUCCUUUAAUCAUUAUACAAUGUAUUAAACCAGAAAAGGUAUAUUUAGCUGGUUUCAGAGUACAUCCUGGGCUUCAAAUGUUAUAAUUCAUCAAAUUAAUGGUAUUUAUUUUAUCAACCUCGGAAGGAUUAUAAGUGAAGUUAUACUGUGGUGGAAUCUCGGUAAAAAUAAAUUUAGUAGGCCGAGAUUACCACGUGGCAUGUGUACGUGCAUAUGCUGACGUAUCGAUCAGUUGGUUGCACGAGGCAAGAUACGAUCAGUAGUGUACGGAGCAUGUGCAAGAAUACAGGAUGUAGUAUUCCCCUCCUCCAUUGUGCUGGACAAGCCAUGCGGUCAAGCAGGAAGUUAAUUCUUAUUUGUAAUGAUUGGUCAAGAGAAUGUGCGGGUGGAGCUUAAUAUGGGAGGAGUUAUGUGCCUAUAUAGGGAGCCUGCACUAUUGUUCAGGGCUCAGAACUUGCUGUAUUUUUGGUGACAUUAGUCCCUCUGAGUCCCGAUCGGUGAUCCAAUAAAGAAUCUCUUCCUUCCUGAAGAAACCUGUGUCCAUCUCUCUGUGCUUUGCUUCCGUCAGUUUCUCCGGUAUCAUUUGGUGCAUUGGCCGGGAAGCUCAUCGUUCAACGGUAGCUGAGAGGCAGAGGCGUGAGACGGUCUAUCUUUGCCCACGUUCUCUACGGCUGCACCCCUGAACUUCUGCGUGGACCUCCCUUCGUCUCGGCGCCACUGGUCUGUUGUCCAGGAGAUCAUCGGCCUCUACGUAAGAAGUGCUGGGGUGUCCCCGUCGAUGAGUGUGAACUCAGGUUCAGGAACGAGGAGGUAAGACAACUGCUGUUUUAGACGGCAGACCCACUAGGGGUAUACCGAUUGUGCGGUAGGCCCAAAAGGGGUUUAAAUCUGUGUAUGGAAUCUGCCCCCUCUGUCGGAGGGAAGGAGCGAAGGCGCACCGCUCGAUCGAACGCUCUUUAGUAAGACCGUUUGAUCUGGUUAGUCAGGCGGGGUCCUGUGUAAAUAGCCCUAGCCGGACACCGGUGUCUUGUCUAGACUAGCGUUCUAGGGUGUAUAUUACGUUCGCUAGGUCGGAGGGACCGGGAGACUAAGCGGCGCCUGUGUAAAUUCGGUUCGCUAGCUCUCAACCUAUCUUGGCUAAGUGGGAAGGCGUGUAAAUUUGGAACCCACUAGACUUUUGAUAGAGUAAAUAGACUAGAAGGGCAAUUUUGUAAAUUCGCCCUCUAGUUCGCUAUAUGUGGUGCUUGGGCAGUGUGGCUAACCAAAACGGGUGUAUAUAGUUUUAGGUAGUCCAUUCAAGGUACUGGCCAAUAGUUUAGUUGGGAUUGUAAAUGUGUUAAAGAUUGUUAGUAAAGUGUAUAUCUUGUUAGAUAGCGCGAGCUCAGCCGUCUAGCGAGAGUGUUAAUAGUGUGUUGCUGUAUCAUAGUGCACGGUACCAUAACCCUGUAUAUUUACUGACACUGUAUAUAAGUACUAAUCAUUGUCGCCUAUUGCAUGUUUAACACCGUAACCACUAAUAAUUGUAUUGUGACCUUAAAUUGUGCUUUGACCUAUGCUAACCGUACUGUAACCGAUACUAGUAAAAGACGAUGUUACUGGGGUGUGUUAUAGACGGGUAAUUCAUAUAUAGAGAAUUAUAGCGUGGGUGACUGUAUAGUUUCGCCAAAGGGCAUAAUAUUGAUUAUUUAGUGACUGGUGUAACAGCUGUGUGUGUACGGGAAUUCCCUGAGUGAUUAUUGUGUUAUUGUGUACGUUUCACUCGGUAACUGUACCACGUGGUGCUGUUGCCAGAGGAAACGGGUGUGACUGUUGAAUAAGAACGCGUGCAUAGUAUUCGUUGUCAACGACGUUCCAUUGAUAAGUAUGGGCGCGUCAGAGUCAACGAUUUCGGAUCCCUUAGGUUGUAUGGUAAAGAAUUUUAAAAAGGGAUUCAAAACAUGUGAUUUUGGGGUUAAAAUGUCUCCUGUACGUUUGGUCACUUUGUGCACUAGGGAGUGGCCUACUUUGGUUGCGGCAUGGCCGCCGCGUGGCAGUUUGGAUCCAACCCUGGUACAGCGUGUACACGUGGCUGUAUCAGGUAGGCCUGAACUUUACGGACAGUUUCCAUACAUUGAUUGUUGGAGGCAGGCCGUAAACGACUCGCCAAAAUGGAUCCGGAUAUGCCACGAGGAGCAAUGUCGCCUCAUGGUGGCCAGGACUUGUUUGUCCACUAGGACUGGUGUUAGGCCCAUUUUGGACACGCCCCCUGAGUCCGAGAUCCCUUUGCCGCCCCCUUACUUUCUUUUAAGAGGAAGUGACGCGAAUGCAGGAAGUUCUGCACCCCUUCCCCUAUUGCCCCCAUCCACUUCCGCUUCCUCCUCCAGUACAGAAUCCACCCCCCCUCGUAUUAAAACUCCCCUUCCGGAACCAGGACCAACCCCCAUUAGAUCUGAAUAUCCUGAUUUGGCGCCACUUCAAACUUCCGGUCAAGCUUCUUCUAGCUCGGCUCGGAGUAUACUAUUCACUAACUUUUCCCAAAAUCAAGUUCCCACAUCCUCAUGCCCUAUUACCUCUCGACCGGAACCUUUAACUGACGCCCCUCCACGUAGCCCCAUACUAACCCGACAACUGACCGGUACCCAACAAUUAAAACAUUAUCAGAUGCCUCUUCGCCUGAAUCCUGGGUCAGCCUAUAUCGAUGCCGCAGGUCAAAUGGCACAUGCUGACCCAGUCUUCGUAUAUGUCCCGUUCACGACUACCGAUCUCUUGAAUUGGAAGACCCACAAUUCCUCGUACACUGAGAAACCACAAGCUAUGACCGAUCUGUUCACCUCGAUAGUUCAGACACAUAACCCGACAUGGGCUGAUUGCCAGCAGUUAUUAAUGACAUUGUUCAAUAAUGAGGAAAGGACAAGGAUUAACCAAGCGGCCAUUAAGGCGCUAGAGGAGAGAGCCCGUGCUUUAAAUCAAGCCAAUCCGGCAGCAUGGGCCGCAACACAUUACCCUAACACCGAUCCUGACUGGAAUGUAAAUGGCGCAGAUAUGGCUCAACUUAAAGCCUAUAGAGAUGCUAUAAUUGCUGGCAUGAAAGCCGGAGGGAAGAAAGCUAUUAACAUGUCGAAGACAGUUGAGGUGAUUCAGAAAAGUGAUGAAGCGCCCAGUGUCUUUUAUGACCGAUUAUUGGAGGCAUACCGCUUGUAUACCCCCUUUAAUCCGGAAGACGCUGAUAAUUCCCGAAUGGUAAACUCCGCCUUUGUCAGCCAAGCUUACGGAGAUAUUAAGCGCAAGCUACAGAAAUUAGAAGGGUUUGCAGGUAUGUCUAUCACCCAACUAAUGGAGGUAGCGAACAAAGUAUAUAUGAAUAGGGAAACAGAAAGUAAGAAAGAGGAAGAGCGCAAGAUGCGUAGAAAGGCAGAUAUGCUAGCGGUAGCGAUCGCAGGCGUAGAUAGACGGGGCCCAGAUAGAGGCGAUGGUAGAUGGAAUAGGGAGCCUUUGAGUAGGAAUCAGUGCGCGUACUGUAAGGAAGAAGGGCAUUGGAGGAACGAGUGUCCGCAAAGAGAGCAGUAUGAGAGAGACUUACCCAGGGCAGGUUACGGAAACUUUAGAGGCAGAGCGAGAGGUAGAGGAGGCCCCGGAGGGAGUAAUGGUAAUAGAGGGAGUAAUGGGAACAGAGGAAGUGUAAGGGAAGAUAGGUACUAUCCAGCAGCGCAAAGGUCCCGCGAUAGAGAAGGUAGGGACUUUGUGGGAUUGGCUGACACGGUCAUGGAGGACUAUUGAUACCGACCGGGCUCCAUCCCCCUUGGUCGAGCGGAGCCUAUGGUCGAUGUAUCAAUAGGGGGAAAAAGGAGUGCGUUCAUGAUCGACACUGGUGCUGAACAUUCGGUGGUGACUAAUCUAGUUGCUCCUCCAUCUGGAAGAACUAUUACUGUAAUAGGAGCAACUGGAAGAAGUGCUGAAAAACCGGUUCUUAAAAGUCGACUCUGUACAUUGGGAGGCCACGUAGUAAAACAUCAAUUCCUUUAUAUGCCUGAGUGUCCAGUCCAAUUGCUGGGACGUGAUAUGCUAUCCAAAUUACAAGCGCAGAUUACGUUCCUACCAAAUGGAACAACAUCCUUAAAGUUUAAUGGACCCUCAGGUAUUAUGACAUUGUCCGUACCAAAGGAAGAAGAGUGGCGACUUUAUACAGUGUUGACUAGCCAAAACCCGAGGAGUGAUGAAUCCUUAUUUAACAUACCAGGAGUUUGGGCAGAGAACAACCCACCAGGACUGGCCCGCAAUAUUCCACCUAUUAAAAUCGAACUAAAACUUGGGGUUUAUCCAGUAAGCCUGAGACAAUAUCAUAUUCCGCAGAAGGCUAAGAAGAACAUCCAAUCUUAUCUGGAUAAGUUCAUACGGUAUGGUAUCCUAAAAUUCUGUACUUCCCCCUGGAACACCCCAUUGCUGCCUGUUCAAAAGCCCGGUACAGAUGAGUAUCGACCUGUGCAGGACUUGAGAGCAGUCAAUGAUGCGGUUGUUAGUAUACAUCCAGUCGUGCCCAAUCCAUAUAACCUGCUUGCUUUAAUUCCGGGCGGGGCUACUUACUUUACAGUCUUAGAUCUCAAAGAUGCCUUCUUUUGCCUCCGAAUUGCCGCAGAAAGCCAAUGUAUCUUCGCUUUCCAAUGGGAAAAUGCUGUAACGGGCUCGAAACGCCAAAUGACCUGGACAAGAUUGCCCCAGGGGUUUAAAAAUUCACCAACCCUAUUUGGUUCAGCUCUAAGUCAAGAUCUACUAGAUUUCGAGUCUAUCCCAGGAGAGUGUGUAUUAUUACAAUAUGUAGAUGACUUGUUGAUAGCAGCAGUUACAAAGGAAGUAUGUCAGCAAGCAACGCACGAUCUACUACACAUUCUCUGGAAGGCAGGAUACAAGGUGUCUAGAAGGAAGGCUCAGUUGUGUUUGCCAACUGUCAAAUAUCUGGGAUUCCAUAUCUCUGAAGGUCAAAGAAUUAUGGGGCCAGAGAGAAAAGAAGCUGUGUGCCAAAUACCGAUACCCAGAAAUAGAAGACAAGUGCGAGAAUUCUUGGGGGCAGCAGGCUUCUGUAGGAUAUGGAUUCCCAGCUACGCGAUACUGGCAAAACCUCUGUAUGCAGCUAUCAAAGGUACAGAGCACGACCCCUUCUUAUGGACUCAAGAACAGCAAACGGCAUUCGAAGAUGUGAAGAGGGCUUUGAUGAGUGCCCCAGCAUUAGGUCUACCUGACCACACACGCCAUUCUACCUGUAUGUACAUGAGCAAAGAAGAAUGGCUGUGGGAGUAUUGACACAGUACUUGGGAUCAUGGCAAAGACCUGUUGCCUACAUGUCUAAGCAACUGGAUGCAGUGGCCAGCGGACUUCCACCUUGUCUAAGAGCCGUAGCUGCAGCCGCCCUGCUAGUAGCUGAAGCCGAUAAACUCACUCUGGGUCAAGAACUUUAUGUACGAGUUCCACAUGCAGUACAGACGUUGUUGGAUUACAAAGGAAAUCAUUGGUUUAGUAACAGCCGUAUGACCAAGUAUCAAGCAAUGUUGUGUGAAAACCCAAGAGUGCAUUUAGAGACUGUAAAUACCUUAAAUCCAGCUACCCUUUUGCCACAACCUACUGAAAGUCAACAUGAUUGUUUGGAAGUAAUGGAUGAAGUAUUUUCAAGUAGACCAGAUCUUCGUGAUUUUCCCAUCCAGAACCCUGAUGUUCAAUAUUACACCGACGGCAGUAGUUAUGUAAAAGAAGGGAUCCGCUAUGCAGGAUAUGCAGUAACAACGAUAGACAAGGUGAUAGAAGCUCGGCCACUGGCAAAAAGGAACAUCAGCACAAAAGGCAGAAUUGAUAGCACUGACACGAGCGUUACAAUUGGCUGAAGGUUUAAGAGUGAACAUCUACACGGACUCCAAGUAUGCGUUUUUAACCACUCAUGCCCACGGAGCUUUGUAUAAAGAAAGAGGACUAUUGAAUUCAGAAGGCAAAGAAAUCAAAUACGCAGCUGAGAUCCUACAACUAUUGGAAGCAGUGUGGGAGCCGAAAGAAGUCGGUAUUAUACAUUGUCGGGCGCAUCUGAGAGGAGAUGGUGAUGUAACCAAAGGGAAUCGGAUGGCAGAUAGUGCAGCUAAGCGUGCUGCUGAAUCAGGAAGACAGGAAUAUGUGGGGCAUAUAGCUGCUCUUAUACCAACUCCACUGUCUCAAUGGACUCCAAUUUAUACAGCUCAAGAAGAGGAGUGGUUAAGGACUGAACCUGGAAAGUAUUUGGAGAACAAAUGGUAUCAGUUAGAAGAUGGAAGAAUAGUUAUUCCAGCAUCACUAGCGGUAGAAAUUGUCCAAAACUAUCAUAACGGGACACAUUCUGGGAGAGACAGUACAGAAGAAUCUCUCAGAAAACAUUUCUACAUACCAAGAUUGUCCAACUUGACUCAGGCCAUUGUACGUAGAUGUGUAACGUGUGCUAAAAAUAAUGCAAGACAAGGACCAGUAAAGCCACCAGGAGUCCAGUUUAUGGGGGGACUUCCCAUGUCCGAUUUACAAAUUGACUAUACAGUGAUGCCUAAAUCGGGUGGACAUCGCUACCUGCUGGUAGUGGUGUGCACCUAUUCAGGCUGGGUAGAAGCAUGUCCUACUCGUACAGAGAAAGCAGGAGAAGUCGUGAGAUUCCUGCUACGAGAAAUAAUACCCCGAUAUGGACUACCCUGCUCUAUAGGAUCGGACAAUGGUCCAGCUUUUGUUCAUCAGUGCCUACAACAAUUGACUCAUAUGCUUGGUAUAAAGUGGAGGCUUCAUACGGCAUAUAGACCCCAGAGUUCUGGUAAGGUAGAGAGAAUGAAUAGAACUAUUAAGAAUCAGUUGGCUAAAAUGUGUCAGGAAACCCAACUUAAGUGGAACGUUCUCUUGCCCAUAGCUCUAUUGCGAAUCCGUAGUACACCUACCAGAAGGAUGGGCCUCUCUCCUUUUGAAAUCAUGUACGGGCGACCACCUCCCGUGCUUGGUAACUUAAGGGGGGAUUUGAGUCAGUUGGGAGAAGGAAUUACCCGGCAGCAGGUUGUAGAGUUGGGUAAGACUAUGGAGGAGGUACAGAAAUGGGUACAAGAUAGAUUACCUGUGAAUAUUUAUCCCCCAAUUCAUAGUUACCACCCAGGCGACCAAGUGUGGAUUAAAGAGUGGAAUAAUGUGCUGUUAGGGCCCAAGUGGAGAGGUCCUUAUGUUGUUCUUUUGUCUACCCCUACAGCGAUAAAAGUAGCCGAAGUGACUCCGUGGAUACAUCACUCCAGGGUUAAACCAGCAGCAGCCGAUUCUUGGCAAGUUACAGCAGAUCCAGAGAAUCCCUGCAAGAUCCGGUUAAAACGCACGACUCAGUCGGAGUGACGAGGAACCUUGUGGAUUACAAAUUUUAUUGUUUCAGAAACUUGGUAAGUGAGUGAGAAGGCCAUAAUAAAGCCUGUCCACUCACCAACGAGUGUAUAAGUCAGGGAAAGUCUUGAGGGGACCCCUAUGAAGACGAGCAGAACUCCAUUCCCUGCAGCCCUUACAUCCUGGAAGCUGAGGUGCCUUCGCACGGACGAAGACUGAGGAUGACGACGAAAGAUGUAUUUUUAAUAAUGUUUAUUUAUGUGUAUUUUUAUAUUCAGGAAGGUAGAGGUACCGACACUCCUAGCUGUGAGGUAUGCAUUAAGACUACAAGAACAGGUAACCAUAUAUCCCAGACCCUAAUUUGGCAUUCGCAAUAUGAGUGUAAAGGAGAUGUAUCAAGAUGUAGAUACUUAAAUAUAGAAUAUAGUGUGUGUCAUUUAGGAGUAGGAGAACCUAAGUGCUUCAGUCCUGAGUAUCAACCCCGUACAAUUUGGUUGACUCUCAGAAAUGGAGAUCCUCAGGGGACCCUAAUUAAUAAAAACAGAGAAUAAGACGGUAUUAGAAUCCGUAUAUUCUUCAGGUGCUCUGCUAUUUGAUGCGUGUAAAGCAAUAUCAAGUGGUAGAAAGCCGUGGAAUGUAUGUGGGGAUCUUAGAUGGGAGAGGACGUAUGGGUCUAACGAUAAAUAUAUUUGUCCCAGUAGUAAAAUAAAUAUGUAAGUCCAAGAUGCCCAAAUAGAGAUUAUAACUUCUGCCCAUAUUGGUCUUGUGUGGGGUGGGCGACUUGGGGACAGACAGCAGACAAGGACAUGAUUGUGACUAAGUUGCCUACUGAUCCAUAUUGUAAGUCUAUGGAAUGCAAUCCAAUCCAUAUACUUAUAAAUAACCCUGACAAGUUCUUAGAUAAAUAUGGUAAUUUAUUUGGGUUUCAAAUAUAUGGGACGGGUUUAGACCCUGGGACAAUAUUGUUUAUAGGGAUAGAGACUGAUACGGUAACCUCCCAAACUCAUCAAGUAUACUAUUCCUUUUAUGAAGAGAUGAGCAUAGAUAAUAAGAUCCCCCAUAAUGCUAAAAACUUGUUCAUUGAUUUAGCCGAAAGUAUUGCCGGUAGUCUUAAUGUUACCAACUGCUAUGUGUGUGGAGGUACUAACAUGGGAGACCAAUGGCCUUGGGAAGCAAAGGAGGUAAUGUCCGGUUCUGAGGCAGUUGACCAAUUAAUAUCUACACAAGCCGACUAUCAUAUGAGUGUUAGAGGUAAAUCUGAGUGGAGAUUGAAGACCUCCAUCAUAGGUUAUGUUUGCAUAGCGAGGAAAGGAAUGAUGUAUAAUACUUCUGUAGGAGAAUUAACUUGUCUAGGGCAAAAAGCUUAUGAUGAUGAUACAAAGAAUACAACUUGGUGGUCGGCUUCAAAUGUCUCAGAACCAUCUAACCCGUUUGCAAGAUAUGCCAAUUUAAAGGACGUAUGGUUUGAUCUAUCCAUCACAUCUAACUGGAGAGCCCCAGCGAAUUUGUACUGGAUCUGUGGUAAGAAGGCCUAUUCGGAGUUACCACAGGACUGGGAAGGGGCAUGUGUGUUGGGUAUGUUGAAACCAUCCUUCUUCUUGUUGCCUAUUGAAACAGGUGAGACUUUAGGUGUUAAAGUGUAUGAUGUGAAUCAUAGGAAGAAAAGGGGACCCAUAGAGAUAGGUGCCUGGGAAGAUAAUGAAUGGCCUCCCCAGCGUAUUAUAGAUUAUUAUGGGCCAGCCACGUGGGCAGAGGAUGGUACCUUUGGUUAUAGAACCCCUAUUUAUAUGCUCAACCGCAUUAUAAGGUUACAGGCGGUGGUUGAGAUCAUUACUAACGAGACAUCACAAGCGCUCAAUCUUCUAGCGAAGCAUAAUACCAGGAUGAGGACAGCAGUUUACCAAAAUAGAUUAGCCUUGGAUUAUCUUUUGGCAGUAGAGGGAGGUGUAUGUGGGAAGUUUAACCUGAGCAAUUGCUGUCUUCAAAUAGAUGACGAAGGGCAAGCAAUAGCUGAGCUUACUAGCCAUAUGGUUAAACUAGCGCAUGUGCCUACUCAGGUAUGGAAAGGGUACAAUCCAAGUAGUUGGUUUGGUAGCUGGUAUGAGUGGUUUGGAGGGCUUAAGGCAGUGGUAGGUGGAGUCCUACUGAUUUUAAUGUUGUGUCUACUCCUGCCGUGUCUUAUACCCUUAGUAGUUAGGUCUGUGCAAAGCCUGAUAGAAAAUAUAGCAGAGAGGAAGGCUGCUGCACAGAUAAUGGCAAUUUAUAAAUAUAAGGCUCUAGAUCAGGGAGAACCAAUGCAGGAAGACGAGUGUUGAAGAUUCACAUCAUAGGAUAAGUCUGGUCUGGUUCAAAGGUAACUUGUGGUGUAUGCAAACCAAGGUUAAGUGAUGCCUCAAGUAAUUGUAAAAUAUCAAGAGGCAUCAAAGGGGGGAAUGUGGUGGAAUCUCGGUAAAAAUAAAUUUAGUAGGCUGAGAUUACCACGUGGCAUGUGUACGUGCAUAUGCUGACGUAUCGAUCAGUUGGUUGCACGAGGCAAGAUACGAUCAGUAGUGUACGGAGCAUGUGCAAGAAUACAGGAUGUAGUAUUCCCCUCCUCCAUUGUGCUGGACAAGCCAUGCGGUCAAGCAGGAAGUUAAUUCUUAUUUGUAAUGAUUGGUCAAGAGAAUGUGCGGGUGGAGCUUAAUAUGGGAGGAGUUAUGUGCCUAUAUAGGGAGCCUGCACUAUUGUUCGGGGCUCAGAACUUGCUGUAUUUUUGGUGACAUUAGUCCCUCUGAGUCCCGAUCGGUGAUCCAAUAAAGAAUCUCUUCCUUCCUGAAGAAACCUGUGUCCAUCUCUCUGUGCUUUGCUUCCGUCAGUUUCUCCGGUAUCAAUACUUGUCAAGAACCUAACCUGUGCCUUUAAGGUACUGCUGAUGAAGACCUGACCUCUGAUUUAUCUCACCGGCUCUGCUGGAUUUAUGGAGAAACUCAAAAAAUACAGAUGUCCACAGAUUGUGGUUGCAAUUAAUUUGCUUUCUUUACUGUUAAGUUCCUUUAUAAAUAAGGAAUUUUAAAAAAUUAAUCUUAGAAAAUAAAGAAGUUAGACAGAGAAGAGAUUACAUUAAUUCUUCUCAGGCUAAUCAUGAAAAAGUUUGGCAUGACCAUCAGAAAUAUAUCACUAUUAAAAAGGUAUUGAGUAGAGUAAUUCACUAAAAAGUGAGUUAUGAGUAGUUACUUGGAUAAACAUUGUGGAAUUAACAGAAUUACUAUCUAAUUAUGCAUUCGAAUAAUAGAAGCAAUUAUCAUAAUGAUAGGGUAUGUUCUCGUGCAGCAACAAGUCUCAUAGCGCUUUUCAGUACGAAAAACAAACAGUGUGAAUGAAACAAUUCUAAGGAGAUGGAAGAUGGAAUUAGAGCCCUUCUCCAGCUAUAAACAUUAAAGUUAACAAGUUCUAUUUUAGGUUUCCAUAGAAUAGUAACUUUCCGUUUUAUCACCUGUAGCGUAUAAUGGAAAGGAUUGGAGCAAGCCUAUAAAUCUUACUGGCUACCAUUCAAAGCAUGUUCACUUGGACGCUCUGUUAAGUUUAGAGACAGACUCGGUAAGGUAUAUGGGUUUUGGCAAUAUUUUCCCAUAGAGUCCCGCAGUCUGCGUCGUGAGUCAUAGUUCCUUUAACAAAGGGCCCCUGGUACAAGGAUAAGCAGGCCGAUAAGCUGUAACUCCUUAGCUGUUGCUGAAUUAAAACUCUUAGAAUCUUUAGCCAAGGUGAUAAUUACCGUUGCGGUCUGAAAGCAGCUGGCAAGUGUCUGAUUUCAGAGCCCGGUCCUACGGCUUGUGUCUAACUUGUGUGGAAUUCAUCCCAAUGUGUAAUACGCACAUGUCUGUGUGACAUCUGAUUCUCUGUGAUGAGCGAUCAGGCUGAUAACCUGUUGUGAAGAUUACUAAUAAUGUUAAUUUAUUUUACAAAGAGACUGUUUCUAUACUGUAGUGUCAGAAAACAGUGGUCAACGGUAAUGCCGGGGAAGACCCACGUUCUCCAAUACAUCUCUACAGUAUUAUUAUUGCCUUAUCUGGAUUAUUUACUAAACUUUUAUAUGUAGCAAAUCGGAAACCAGAUAGCAAAACUGAGGCUAAAAUAUUCAUGAUGUGACUAAUUGCUGAGUUGAGGAAUUUCUCCAGAUAAACUAUUUCAGCCAAAAUGUUUCAAUCUAAUUAAUUUGCUAUAAUUUGGAGUUACAUUAAUAACCCUGUUGAUCUGUCGCAGCUGAGUGAGCUAUAUUAUAUAUAUACAUUUGAUAGAUUGCCCACUUUUACUGUCCACAUCUAUGUUGUUAGGCAGUAUGUGAAGGGUACUGUUUCACUGUAUGCAGAAUUCAUAUAAUACAAGCGAGAGAUAAUACAUUGAGUAACCAUGAAUAGGGUUCCAUAUUCAUUUCCACAAAUUUACCUCUUUCCAGUAAUACAAUCUGCUGGGUAGCACUUGUCAUAUACCAUCCUGGUAUAAUUGCACAAUAUAUAAUAUAUAGAGUAAGCAAUAUAGGGCAGCGGCAGCCUAAUAAUAUGUAGAAUUCAUAUAGUGCAGUACAAAAAUCAUUUAAUAAUUCACAGUAUUCCAUAUUAAGCACCAGAAUUUAUUUCCCAUUGAUAUAUAAAUUCGGCCUACUACAAUACCGUUCGUAUACCAUCCCGCAGCAUAUCGAAGAGAUUUUUUUGAAAAAAGUAUUGAAUCUUGCAAAUCUUACAAAGAGACAUCAUACAGUUGGUGGAAAAAAUAGCUGCUUUGGCAACCCUACCUACAGGCCUCAAUGUCUUCUUCAAUAAAAACCCACUGUUGUAUUCUUUAAUUCAAGUACCGAUUUUUUUCUUCCCUCUUCACUGAUAGCACAUCACGAACAGUAGCUAAUCAUAGCAGAGUGGAGGAGGUGACCCUAAGACCCUGAACAAUUAACAGAAAUCCAUAUGUGGACAGGAUUAUGGGUAAGACACUCGAGAGUUAAUGGGUCUUGUGCCGAGGCUUAGCUAUAGGUCUCGAGUGAGUUAUUAGAAAGAGACUUACUCUGAGUGAUUGAGUCUUAAAGAGACAUUAACAAGCAAAAAUGAGAGCAAACACAUGCAUACAAAAACAUUUUAUAUUUUUUGCUGUUGUGGGACAAAUCUUGCCCAUGUGCUAGUUUCUCUAUACGUUGUAUCACGCUCUCACUUAAAUGUUCAAUUUGAAAUGACUCCGUCCCUUUCACACGCUCUUGUUCACACCAGAAUCCAUUACAUAAUAUUAUUUUUAGGAUUUGGCAAAACGUUAAGGAAUCUAACCCCAGGGGUGCAAUGUAAAGAAUAUAUCUUGAUUAUCUUGAUCGAUGUCUGAGAUAAUGUUUACGCAUACCACUCGAACAUGAUGUACAAUGAAAUGAUAUGAUUGCUCUCCUGGGCAGCUCUAAUUUGUUAAUUUCUUUUUUGAUGUUACCAGUAUUUCCACAUUUGGUCAUUGUCUAGGAUUUUGUCAGCUUGAUGUCCUCUGCAUUCCUGUCUUGUUCCAAUUCUACUGCCCCUUUUAAUGAAUGCUAAAGCUCCGUAGUCACUAAGUCUAGCCCUCUACCUAGUGCUACCCCAUUUGUUAGCUGCUGCUGUAUUGUACUGCAUUUUAGACAUUGUGAAAUGAAGAUUUUCAAGGAUAUAUUUGCAGAUUUUCUGCUUAUUCUCUUUGUACAACCAGCGAUCUCAAAUGUGUGACACAUUAAACUUGUCAAAUUUCUUUAGCAUUUAUUUGGUGCCAAUAGCAUGCCAAGAGCUAUCAUCUGCCCACUGAAGCCUCAACACUAUUCCAUAACUCCCAACUGUCCUUAUUUAGCAGGGAAAGUCUCUAUUUUGGGCUCAGAUUUCACGAUUCUAUCUUAAUGUCCCUCUUUUCUUGGAGCUCCGUAUUGCUGGUGUGUCUGAGUGUAUAACAGCAAUAAUACUCCCAGUAAUGUGUCUUUACCCUACAAUAAAUGUGUUUAGAAAUCAAUCUGUGUAAAUAAGAUACAUUGUUCUUGUUCUAAAUUACAUUGUAGUUGUAUACAUUUUUAUUAGUAAGUCCCCUAAAUCUCUCAGUACAGCCUCCCCCUUUGCCACACCCCCACUGACACCCCUAAAAUGAAAGUGUCCCUCUUUGUCCAUGUGAAAUGUUGGGAACUAUAUUGUUCCUUGACAUAUGAUAUCUGCAUGACAGCACUGCUAAUUCAUAUUAUAUCAAGCAAUACUACUAAGGAAAAGUGUACAUUUAAUAAAAUACCAUUUUGGAGUUUUAAUCUGUCCUUGGGUAGUCAAGGCCCCUAACUGCUCUUUGACAAAAAAUAUACCAUUCCUGUAGGGCAGAGGUGUCCAAAAGGCAGAUCCCCAGAUGUUUUAAAACUACAGCUCCCAUGACCAUUUGUCAUUCCAAAGUCAUUCUAGAUGCAAGCAAACCAUCAUGGCAUUUGUAGUUCUACAACAUCUGGGGAUCUACCUAUUGGGCACCCCUGCUGUGGGGUGUCUUAUUUCUUACCUAUUAUGUCAACAUACUGCUGUGCAGUUUGCCUCUGUGCCUCAGAUCUAAAGUCGUGGGUAAGUACUCAUUUAAAUGUUAUGAUUGUUUUCAAACAGUGAAUUGUGACUAAGAGCCUCCUGACACUUAGUUUACCCCCAGGCUAGAACCCAUGUCCCAAAGCAUUACAAUGUGUUCAUAUUAUAUCCAGAUGUGGGCUACUGUACACAGGGCACUAGAUUGGGAAGUGUAAACAUAUGUUUGGUUUGGAAUGUGCAGUAAAUAAUGAUAUCUGAUACCACACUGCGAAGAACACAAUAAUAAAAUAUGAUACUAUAAAGGAUGAAUUGUAGCGUGACUUACAUGUUUAAUUCUGAAGAUAAAUGUGCUUAGUUUUCAGAACUUCAAAGUCCCAGUUAUAGGCAGUCCAGCUUUUCAAUGGACCUUAGAGGGACAUUUUUAUAGCAAACGUUUUGAUUUGCAAAGUGGAUAGCUUUGGAGAUAUUUAAUUUAUUAUAACAUAUUCAUUUUUUAUUUAAAUACUUGAUUGGUUUAAAAAUGUCUAACACUUCAACCAGUUAAUAAAAUAUGAGGAAAAUCUCAAUAAAAAUGUAAACAUUACGUCAUUAAUGUUAUCCAUCACUUCUGCCACAGGUGGUAGGUAACAUUCUCCAGGGCAUAGUAAAGCCCAGAUGUUGUGAGAACUCACUAUCGUGAUUACCCUCGUUUGCCAUUUUCAUGUGUUGUUCCAGUAAGAAAUACAUAGUUAGACUAUAGCGCUACACAUUUCUGAAAUCAUGUAGGGAGGGAAUGAGCCCGGUAUGUUUGCGGAGGAGCCAUAUACAUCCUCCUUAUACUGCUCCAUAUCUGCAGUGUCUAGAAAUGCAUUUUAAAUGUAUUUAUAACGUCAUUCUAAAUGUAUUUUGAUUUAAAUAUAUAUAUCAAAAUACAGUUAGAACAAAUUUAAACCGGUAUAUAAUUUUUUUUAAAUUUAAUUUUAUUUAUUUUUCAUUUUUUUCAAUUAUAUAUAUAUAUAUAUAUAUAUAUAUAUUUAUAAUGUCAUUCUAAGUGUAUAUAUAAUUAUAUAUUAAUAUAUAUGUUAAUAUUAAAAUAUACUUAGAAUAAUAGAUCAUGUAUAUAUAUAUGAUCUAAGUACUUUUAUUACAUUCAUAAAAUGUUUUAAAACUUUAUUUUAACUUUUAAAACUUUUUUGCAGGCAUGAGGGGGACUGCCUGGGAUGCCAGGCAAGUCCCCACAUCGCGAUCGCCGGCGGGUAAGUGCAUAAUUUGCCGCAGACCUACCAGGUACAUCCGAGGUUGUUAACGGCCAUUUUUUUGUUGUCGGGCGUACCUUGCACGUCCGAGGUCAGGAAAGGGUUAAAUGGACACUCCUCCGCCCAAAUACAAACUAAAUAAAAAUCACUGUUUAGUAGAUGUACCCCAAAUGAAAACAUGCAUGCAUUCAAUAAUUCAUUUUUUUCCCCAUUGGGGUAUAUCUAAAAACAGCUUGCAAAACCGGUGACUGUCCAAACAGACCAGUGGUUUCCAAACCAGUACUCAUGGCCCACCAGCAGUCCAGGAUGUAUGUAUUUCCCUGUUUUAUUCCAAUGGAGAUACUGACAAAACCUGGACUGUUGGUGGGCUUUGGGGACUUGUUUGGCAAAGACUGCUCUAGGCAAUUGCUGUUUCUUGAGUUUAGUUCCACUGAGCUAACCAAACCAGGAAGUAACUGGGCCAGUUUUCAGCUUGAAAACUAGGGCGGUGUAAAUUUCCAUUGCAAUCUGCAAUUUUUGCCAAAUGAAAAAAAAGACGCACCUUUCACACAUAAAGCUGUUCUGCAAGCUAACUUGCUUUAGGGUCCCUUUAAGACUCAGGCUGUCUGCAAAUAAGACUGGAAUAGCUAAUAGAAUUCAGUCUACUUGUAUAUUCCGUGGUUAGCGACUGGUAGAAACAUUGAAUGGAAGGGUAGUUCAGUGUUAAAUGAGCACAGGGCAUAUUUGAUAAGAAGAAUAAAAGUGCAAGCUGUCAUGACUGCUUGAAUUCUUGCUUUAGGCAUGCUACUUUCUUUAGAUUUAAGGAUUCAUUACUGAGUGGAGAGAGUCGGACUUGGAUUAAAUUAAGCCCCCUUCAAGCACCACUUCAGCCCAAUCAAACAUUGUUUGCAUAGCCGUGACAGCCCAAUCACGCCAUGGCAAGGGUAGAUGCCCAGAGCUAAUGGAGCGGCACAGCCGCCAAUUAUUCCAUCUCACGAAAAGGCAAAAAGACAAAUUAAAUCACCCAGAGUAAUCAGCACCUGCAGAUGACUUUGGACAACAUCCACCUUUGAUCCUCCAGCUGUUGAAUUAAGAUUCUCAUUGUUGUUAGUCACUUUGGCUGUGAAACACCAGUUGCAUGAAAAGUAGUCUGCCCCAGACAUUAAUGAAUGCAGAGGAGCAUGCUGGGUAUACUCAUUGGAGCAAAUUCAUUUUAACCAUUUCAGUAAUGCAGAGAGUAUAUAUCACAGUGAAUUUCACAAUAUAUCCUUCUGUUUCAGCGUAUUUCCAGUGACCUUAAGUGUCUUUUUGAAAUAUGUGGUUGUUUUACAAUUAUGUAUCUAUACUAAACUGCUUACCUUUCCAUCAUUACAACUGGUCCACAGUGACUACAUAAGAGAAUGUAUUACUAAAAAUAAAAAUAUCUGGUUCAUUUGUGCCAUGAAUUUAUGCAUUGCAGCCUCCAUUAGUAUACGUGUAUGGGGUUGACUUGGGUAAUCUGAUUUAAAGAAUUUGGACCAAUAUUUUUUUUAUUGCAGUUCCAAAUGUGACCACAAGGGCCAUUUACAGUGCUGUUCAAUAAUUCUUUAGGCUGCAUUUCUACCAUGAUUGAAAUAUGUUGUAUGCUCCCUCUCUGGGCUUCUUUGCCAUUCCAUUUGUAUGAGAGCUAGUGUGUUUUUAGCAUAACACGUCUGUGUGCCAUCCGUGUUGUUUAGCUACAGUAUGUGUACUAAGUCUGUCGCCUAAUAACAGAGUUGUCAAAUGCCCCUCUUCAGCUUUGCAACUUGGUUCACCAACUGCUAGUAGCCACAUCUGGCUCCUGUGCACCCAAAUAAAGUAGCCAAAAUUUGGGGAUCAGGGAGUAGACCAAUAGGUAAAAAGAUUAAGUAAAAGCUUUGUUUUGUGAGUCAUUUUUUCAGCUGUUCCACGGAUCACAUCUCCUAAUGAAUUUUUAAUGUCUUGUCACGUCUAUUUUUAUUCCUUUUUCGUCUUUUCAUUUUGUUAUUAUAUUUCCCAUGUGCUUUCUCUCUGACUGUUCUUUAUUUCCCCGAAAUUCAGUUGCCUUUCCUCCAUCCCCCCCCACCCCCCCUCCUGCUUCAGUGUUUUCUCAUCCUCUCGCCCCUUCUCUCACUUUCUUUCCUUUUUGGAGCUAGGGUUUGCAUAUCCGUAAAUUAAGUGAGAUAAUAUAAAGAUCUUUUGUUCUUCCAGAGACUGCCGGGGCCCAAUGGGAUUCAGAGGAGGAGGGAGGCGCACCCCCUUGCUUGAGGACUUGAAUCACAGGUCCUUGUAUAUUUAUUUAUGUUUAAUAUGGUAGUUUAAAAAACAAAAAUAAAACGGUUAGUGAAUGGAGAUCUUUGCUUGCACUGUAUCUUGCAAAACAGAGAGAGAGAUUGCAUGGCGCUGAAUGUGUUGCAGUCCAGCAGAUUGGAAAAUGUAUUUAUUUAGAAAAUAUUUUACCAGGAAAGAUACAUUGAGAUGUCUCUCGUUUUCAAGUAUGUCCUGGGUCCACAAAACAUUGCAUUGAAGCAAUAGGGUAAAAUAAAAUACAAAAACAAUAUUAAUACACGAUAUAUACAAAAUUUACCAUAGAACAGGUAAGAAAUAUAUAAUCAACCAUGACAGGUGCAUUCUGUUUUGAGAUAGGUAGAGAGGGAUGGACCUGUCCUUCCCGUAUACUGAUUGUAUAUGUCACUGUAUAUCUGUGCAAGACAGGAAGACUGAUGUGUGCUGCUGGAUAAGAAUGUCAUAGUAAAGCAGAUUGGAGAUGUGCAGACCUUAUUUCAGCGAGGGUUACUUUUGCUGUUCUGCCCUGCAUCAUAUAUCACUUGGGCAUUGGCACGGCUGCUGCGUGAGCUGUAUGAGCAUGUCAUCGUGUAGCAUACGUCAACCAGAUUUUUGGAAAGAUAUCAAGAAAUAUUAUUAGAGUUAGUUGGAGUUAUAAAAAAAAAAAGCAGAUGGGUAUAUUUUGUAGAUACAGCAGAGUGUCCAAGAUUGUUUAGAGUUAAAAGACAUGUCAUCUGUGACAUCACUCCAUGACAUCACUGUCCACACACGGAAUCAGAGUGCCUCUAGGAUGCCCUGUCAGUGGUGGCAGAUGCCCGGUACCCAGGCUGUUAUGUCAAUGGAUCCAUUGCCCUGUGUCUGGCAGUGGGGUGGAAAGACAACUGGCAGCAGGGCAAAGUGCCAUGGGCACAUUGUAUCACUAGGUUAAUAAUAUGAAUAUUGUGUAUAAGAGAGAUAUUCCUUCUGUUGGCCUGCACCUGCGCCCUGCACACACAUUUCACUGUAUACAAUUGAGAUGGGGAUGGCUGGCUGUGUUAUAACUUUCUUAUGUGUAAUUACAUGGCUAUCGUCUAUUUAUAAAAUACAAUCCGGCCCUGAGAAUGCGUUUGCCCCCACUGUCCCCCGUUUUAUAUAUUUUUUCUUUUUGUGGUCUGGCCCAGAACCUCUCACAUUCCCGCAGAAAAUUACAAUGUGGAAAAAAAAACAGGAUCCUGGUCCUUCUCUGUAGGCCCCAGUAACGGAGUCCAGAUGUGGCAAAUUAGAGGCAGGGGGGAAAACAUAAAUACUGGCACUGCCAGGGUAUAUUGCGACUAACCACUGGCACCGUCUGUGCUAAGAUGCAUCGACUCUUAGAGAUGGAAUGUAAUAAAAUGUGUUUGGAUGCUGCAGAAUGGGCACAGUAGCUGUUAAGAAGGGAUAUAAAGGGAAUGGUGGAAGACAGAAUGGAGAAGGAAAGAGGAGGAGUGAGAAAUAGGAACGCUGGAAUUAGGGAGAGGCUAGGGAAAGAGAAGAAUUAAGACUGCAUUUGCAGAGAGACAGAGUAAAGAACAGCUAAAAGUGUUGGUAAUGCUAAGUAAUGCAAGAGUAGGACAGUCAAGCUUUGUACCUAUGUAUGGUGUCACCAUGCACCUCUCCGGGGUAGGUCUCCUUGACCCCCCACCUGCGGGGCGAAUGCUGUGAUGAGCCUAUAAUUUCUGAAAGCUGCCUUUGUACACGGCCCCCCCCCAUUCCCCCUUCCUCGCCUAGAACAUGUUCUAGGGAUAAUGGGAUCCAUUGUGAAAUUAGUGGUGGGAAGGGGGGGGGAUGAUUCUGCCUGGUGAAGGGAGGGGGUUAGAGACCCCGUGAAGGCACGAGCAGAGAGCCCCCCUGCAGGGGAUACCUAACUGUGUUUAUUUUGAUCUCCCCUCCACCUCGCACCACCAGAGAACUUGCGCUCUUACUUAACUACCCCCUGGGGGAACAUGUAAAUACUAUUAAGUGUAAUAAUAACUAUUCUGCGUAUGCUUUUUAACUCUUUAGAGAACAAGCAAGAGUUGACAUUGAGUGUCGUUAACCACUCAAAAACCCUCUCGAGUACCCAGAAAAGAGCCACUCAACCCCUCCCAUUACAUCUUACUUCUUAGGCCCCCAUUAGAAUGGCCAUUAAGCAUCUCUCUGUCAUGUAAAAUAGAGAGCAGAAAGUAAUUUGCCCAUUAGAAGGGAAUGCAUUUGUUAUUAAACUUUAAACAAUGUAAACCAUUUGUUAGCUCUUAAUGCUCCUGCAUGGGAUAUGGGUGUAGGUUUGUGGCAGGGCUUUCUAAACAUAUAGGGUUAUUCUCUAAAGUGAAUUGUCAGUAAUUCAAAGUGAUUUCCAUAAUUUAGAACAAAAAUUAGAAACCUUGAGUUUGUUUUUAUUUCUACUUUUUUAGCCCAACAUUGCAAUUUACUUUGCAUUCACUGGCAUUUAUAACAAUUCAUCCUUUACCUGUUUUGAUUUCUGUGGUUUGGCGUGUUCACCUUUAGAAUAAAUUUUAUUAUUAUAAUCCUAAUGUAUUCAAAUUUCCAAACUGGGUUGGGGCUAUAUAAAUAUCAACAAUAAUGUCCCCCAUUAAUCCUGACACUGCCAGUAGGUGCUUACGCUUUUACUUUGAUUUAAUCUUUUACCAUGUUAAACAAGCUAGUGUCACUAGUUCACGUCAAUCGAUUAUUGGAUUGAUCACUUAAACCAUUCCCUUGAAGUCCAAGCACCAAAACCACUGCAACUCACUGUAAUGGUUUUGGUACUAGGAGUGUCAAAUCGAUUUAAUAGAAUUUAGCGGUUACCUGGGUCUAUCCUGACAUAUGAAUUGCAUCCGGUCUUCUCAGAGCUGGAGAAGCAGGAUAUCAGUUUGUUUAAUAAAGGAACGUAAUCGACUACUCACCUGAGCUCUCAGGCAAUAAAUGACUGCCCCCGACAUUCGACUUCCUGCUCAAAAACUGGAUCCAAAGUGGGCACCUAAACAGACCCAGGUAAGAGCUGGUCUAUGCUAGCCGGGCUAGACAGAUUAUGCUGGGGCAGUACCAGUACACUCCUGGCACCAUAAACACUACAGUGGGCUUGGAGUGUUCCUUUAAAUGUUCUUACCCGACCUUUUAUAAACACGUUACAUUGUAGCCUAUCAAACAAGGUCAGUCCUUCCACCCACAUCACUGUCUGAGUUAUUUACUUACAGAGGACUGAACUGCCCCUAACUGUCAUUAGGGAAUCAUACCUGCAUAUCAAGUAAUGCUUCAUGAGUUUAAUCAAGGUUUCUGAUACUUUUCCUCAUCGUGCAUCAUUUUUGAUCUUUUUUGAGUCUUUUUUGAUCAAUCUAAUGUCAACAUUUCAUUUAAAUAAUCACGUUAUUACUUUCCAGUUACCAUCCAUUUCUGAAAUUAAUUCUUUUCACUUCUUCAGAGUUUUUUGGUGCGGGUAGCUUACACGCUCUAUCUUUGGGGGACACAAUCGAGCACACUUUUGGCGUACAACACACCCCGGGACAUGACCUCUAUGGGUCUGGCUGAGGAUACUUUUUAGAGGGACAAUUGUUUUAUUAACUGUGUUUGGGUGUGAUAUGACUGCACAUCUAUCAUUUGGCUAAUUAUUACUUCCCUGGCCUUUUGAAGUAUUUGGCUAGCAAAACUGUAUUUCCUUUGACUUUGAAAACAUUAAACAAAUAUGGUGCUGAAGUUUUCCUUGAUCAGAAGUGUGGAACGAAAAAAAAAAGUAUGCAUAGAGUAGCACCCCAACAAGAAAGGUUACUUGCUUUUUACCAACCUGCCAGCUCAAUGCAUUGCCAACACACUAACAUGAGCAUUUUCUAUUAUACAGGGUGGGCCAAAAUUCAGAGUAGGAUUUGACGAGUCUUGGGGGGGGUUUAUCAUGGGUAAUUUCACGAAGGAAAAACGAGUAAAAAUAGUGAAAGUUUAUUUUCUAAAUUGAGACAAUUCUAAUUUUUAAGAAAUUUCCAGAUUAAUUGGCCUUCACAUUCACCCGACCUUUCAGCUAUUGAUCACUUCCUGUGUGGAUAUCUGAAAGAGCUAGUGUACGUGAGCAAACAGCGUACACUUGAGCAGCGGAAGGAGAAUACCCGCGCAGAAAUUUGAGCGCCAGAGCAUCAAACAUUAACUAAUGUUGUGAACAAUUCAAUCAACAGAGUUCGACUUUGCGAGGCGGCAAAUGGAGCUCAUUUAAAAAAUAUCAUCUUCUGUACCUACUCAAAUAAAUCUUCAUAUGUUAAGCAUUUAUUGUAUGUAAUAUCAUUGAAAUUGGUUCAUUAAUAAUAAUUUAAAAAAAGUUAUUGACUCCUCAAACCCUAUCCUGAAUUUUAGCCCACCCUGUACAUUCGCCAGUUGACAUUAUAAAUGGGUCUCUUGGAUUAACAUGGUCUGCGGAACUUUAGACUAAAAGUAGGACAUUUGGUAAAAAAAUAAAUAUUCCACAAAGUUCGUAAUCUGUGGAUUAAAGAGCUAUUCCUUUCCUUGGUCACUUUACCCAAAUCAUUGAACUAACCCUGCAAUCCAAAACACGGUGAUGACAUAUGGAAUAAACUACAUUUCCUAUGAUCCUCUUAAGACUCGCUAAGCAUCAUGGGAAUAGUGGUCAAUCAUGUAAGGUGCCAAGACUGGCAAUCCCUCCAGUAAGGCAGGUCACUAUUUUUAGAACACUUUCCUCAUAUGUCAGAUGUUUCUUUUAAACAUUUGACUUUAGAGAAGGAGGGUGAUAUAUUACAGAACUGUUUGUACUUAUGAGGCUAACCAUACAGGUUUCUAGUAACUAGAACAAACUCACCUGAUAACACAUCAAACAUGUAACAGUCGUUAGAUAAUUACUCAUACAUAAGACAGACCCUUUAACCCAAGUAAAGAUGAAUCUUUCCCUGUGGUGCUGACCCUUUAAAUAUCUGAGUUACAGAGAGUUUUGCUGCUGUUGCCGGAUGCUGGAUCGCAAUAUAAUAACUAUUUGAGGCACGAUUUCUCUGCCAAAAAUAUGCAUCUAGUUAGAGGUGUCCUGCUGCUGCUGUGUAAAAAUCUCACCUCGUUCCCAGCUGCUGCAGGAUUGGGGUGAGGGGGGCGUGAGGAGAGGUGCGGACUGGAUGGAGUUUGGGUUUGGGGUGGGGGGAGAAGGGGGUUACGGAGCAGCGUCUGGAAUUUCUUUUCCAAAAUAAUGUGGAAAAACUAAAAUCCCAGCAAUAAACCCCCGAGGUGAGCGGAGCCGAAGGGGAUUUAACUCUUUUCUUGCCUGCAUUGCAACGUUGAAUGGCAAGUUCUGAACAACCUUCUACGCAGAACAUUUGGACUUACAGAAAAAAAAAAUACAUCCGCUAAUAUGUGGACAGAGACAGUGCUCUAUUACAUACCUUUAUUAUAGAUCUGUAUGUUUAACUCUUUGGAUACCAUUGUGUCUAUAUCACAAUCUGGUCCCCGAAGACCUUAUGCCACUGUAAAUUGUCCUACUAAUCUAGUAUACGUAGCUCUAUGUAGACUGUCAUUAUAUAUGUUGGGUAUUUCUACUUAUUAAUAGGAUCUUUAAAAGAGACUAGAUUAUGACAGAGGAGGCCAUCUUUGGUUGUAAAGAGGUUAAUAUUGCACUUUGUAAUAACAAGUCAAUAUAAGUAAACUCUGUGGUUGCUAGACAGAUCGUGGUUUCUGGGAUAGUGCGAGCAAAUUAAUGUGUCAUCCCAGGACAUACAGUAUUAUUUACAUGCCACAAUGUCACCCAGAGAUGACAUUCUAAAAGGAACUGUGAACAAACAGUGGUUGCUCUGGAACAGAUCCUCUCAUGUCUCUCACUAUGGAAACAUGCGUUGAUUUAAAAAAAAUAAAAUUCCCCCAGAUGUUCUUAUCCUCAUAUUCUGUAUGAUUUCCGAGGUAUCAGAGUUUUCCUCGCACCCCAACAGAAAAGGUGCUAUUUCAGUCUGGUUUUGGUGACAUCAUAGCAGCCUUCGUUAAGAGGAGGGUCUUUUAGUAGAUCAUAUGGUCAGAAUAAAUGGGACUUGUUGAUUAAGAGUGCUUGUGACAAGAUGAGAAUUAAAUACAACCAAAAAAUGGUAUACUGAGUAAUUGGUGUUAAAAGACAAUAGUGACCAAGCAGGAUGUGUGAUAGUGAUAGUGACAGGGCAGGGAGUCUGUGGCAAUAUUACACUGAUAGUGACAAUAUUACACUAAUAGUGACAAGGCAGGGGGGUGUGACAGUAUUACACUGAUAGUGACAUGGCAGGGAGUGUGUGGCAAUAUUACACUAAUAGAGACAAUAUUACACUGAUAGUGACAGGGUAGGAAAUGUGUGACUGUAUUACACUGAUAGAGACAAUAUUACACUGAUAGUGACAGGGUUUGUGUACUAAUUGUAUUAAACUGAUACUGACAGGUAUAUAGACACAAUAUUACAGUGACAGGGACAAAGGAAGGGUGAUACAGUAUUACUGUGACAGAGAGAUAAUGAUAUAGUGAAACAAGGAGGAUGGUAAGGUAUUACUUAAAGAGAAAAGGGGUGAUAUAGUAUUACACAGAGAGAGUAAGGGUGAUACAGUAUUACACUGACAGAAAGGAAGGGUGAUACAGUAUUACACAGAGAGAGGAAAGGGUGAUACAGUAGUGCACUGACAGAAAGGAAGGGUGAUACAGUAUUACACAGAGAGAGUAAGGGUGAUACAGUAUUACACUGACAGAAAGGAAGGGUGAUACACAUUAUUACACAGAGAGAGUAAGGGUGAUACAGUAUUACACUGACAGAAAGGAAGGGUGAUACACAUUAUUACACAGAGAGAGGAAAGGGUGAUACAGUAUUACACUGACAGAAAGGAAGGGUGAUACACAUUAUUACACAGAGAGAGGAAAGGGUGAUACAGUAUUACACUGACAGAAAGGAAGGGUGAUACAGUAUUACACAGAGAGAGGAAAGGGUGAUACAGUAUUACACUGACAGAAAGGAAGGGUGAUACACAUUAUUACACAGAGAGAGUAAGGGUGAUACAGUAUUACACAGAGAGAGUAAGGGUGAUACAGUAUUACACAGAGAGAGGAAAGGGUGAUACAGUAGUGCACUGACUGAGAGUGUUCUGUGAUGUGACAGAGUAUCAGUCAAACAGUGAUUGUCAGUGUGACAUGACGCCACAUGUAGGGGGUAACACAAAGUGUAAGCAAUAGUCAUAUUACAUGUUCUGCUGGUGACAGAGUAGCACGUGACACAAUGACACACGGUCGGGAGCAUCCGACAUGGAAGGGAAAGUGUCUGACUGAUCGCUAUCCUCUGUCUCUUGGUGGCAAACCUCAGCUUAUAAACAAAAGCUUCCAGGACAAAAAUAACAUCCGUGAGAGGGACAAGGAUGGGUGGAUAGAGCCUAAAUCAACAGACAAAAGGUCCCACAGGCGGGGGUCUGUCUGUGUGUUCAUUUUCAUUAGGCUAGCCUCAGUAUAUACAGCGACAUAGAUCUCUGUGGGCAUCAGUGCUGUGUCUGGAAAAAAAGGGGGAAUUGGGGGCACAUCCGGAACUAAGUUAGAGUGCUGCCAUAAAGACCAAAUAUGUACAAAAUACAGAUUAAGGAACAACACACAAAUACAGUUUAAAAUUUUACAAAACUACUUAAAAUCACCACUAUACCACUCAAAAUCAAACAAAUUUGGGGAUUUAGUUACAAUAUGUGGCCAUAUCAUGUUCAUCCCACCUCAAGGUCACAGUAUUCCAAUAUCAGUGGGUCCUAAACUAAUUUUAAGACUCUCCUCAAUUUAUGCUUUACACUGGUCACCUCGAAAGGAGCAUCUAUAGUGGACAGGUGGGGUGCUCAGCCCAGUAGGAAUUUGUUGGGUGCCCCUUUUGAGAUCUAAAUGUUUUGUUUCAUUUAUCUAUUUAUGGGAAGGGAGCUGAUUAUUGUGAUGGCAUUUCAUGGGAGCAGUUAGGUUUACACAUUUUCCUCGAAUCUGGAGAACACAUUGAUACGUUAAAUUUUUUUUAAUACAAAAGGCCUUUAUGGAGGCCACAUCAGCACAUUUACAAGUGGUUAAACUGACUGCACAAUAAUAGAAAAGUAGAUUGAUGUGUAAUUCCAUAAUUACGUUGUAGCGGAUUGCAUUGGGCUGUCUGCUAAAACUGUGUGAUAAAAAGGCUUUUGUUAAUUUCCUGUUAUGUGUAUUCAUAUUGUAUGAAGCAUUUGACUGAUUGUUCGGUAAAAUCACUCCGUUCAUCAUACGAAUGAAACUACCGAACAAUCAGACCACCCUAGGGAUAAGUGGGCCUCUUGUUUACCCCCUUGAUUCAUUGUAACUUGCUUGGGCUGCUGGGUGGACACCGUUCGGCAUACGAACACAUGGCGGCGGCCAUCUUACAUACGAACGCUCAGCGGUGUUUGGUCGUCGAGUGUCUGGAACCCAAAUCGGACACUCGAUUACCCGAACACCUCUAAGACCUCCAGUUCUCCAGAACUACCGGACGGAACCACGAAUCAGGCCAUCAUUUGUUUAAAUUGAUCUACCGAACAAGUGGAUUCAUCUGAACUCCAGCUCAGCCCUGGAUAGCAGGGAUUUUCAUGCUUUUUAUGUCCCGAACCGACCGCAAGGUCAAAACACAUGGAAGGGCUUUCGGCUACUUCCUCGUGUGCGGUCGGUCAAAUUUCUACUUCCACCUAACUCCCGAAACCCCUGGUCCGAUCUGGGUGAUUUUUGAAUAUGUUGCUCACCCAGAUCAGGGCUACCAGGGAAUAUAAAAUGUAACAUUGUAUCUAAUAUAUUUGGGGUACAUCUGAAAACUGGGUAAAACCAUAUACUGUAAAAAUGGAUUAUGUGUCAAACUGAGGGGAGGAGAUGUAUGGGAGGUAACAAGUAAAGGAUUGGUUACUGUACUAAUUAUUGUGGGUGGCUCCCUUGCAUGGGAGAAAUGCUUAAAAGCUGAGUGUGAAUAAACCAAUAGUUCUGCUCCUGAUGCUGUGUGUCGUCCAGUCAUUGGGAAACGUUAUGGGAUCUUCUUGGAUUUAUUUUAUUUGCUGUGGAUACCAGUCUCUUGAGUUUUAUUACUUGUUCCUGAGUGUCACUUGGAUUAUUAGCGCAUAUAGGCUGUGAGAGACCAGAUCUCCGCUACAUACGUGGUACUAAAUAAAUGUUAUAUUUUGAAGGGAGUCAGGGCUAGUUAAUUUGGCAAUGGAUAUAUCGGAUAUAUCAGAAGUUAUCAUCUUAUGAUUGUAACUCGCAUCCGAAUGACAGAGUCACUUUAGCUAUCAGUCAGUGUCAUCAAGAUAAGAACUUUCUAGAGUUGCACUAGGACCAGUUGGGAUAUAGUAGAGAGGAUGGUUUUGUUUUAAAAUGUCUUGGCAUGCUUUAAUACGACAACACUAGGUACAACCCCUCCAGUGUUUAUUACAUAAAAUAUGAUGGAGAUAAUGCAUCUUGGAUGUAAAAACCCAUAGAGUCCUAACCUCAACAUCCGAGGAAAGGGAUUUCGGGGUGAUUAUUUCAGAUGACUUAAAGGUAGGCAGACAAUGUAAUAGAGCAGCAGGAAAUGCUAGCAGAAUGCUUGGUUGUAUAGGGAGAGGUAUUAGCAGUAGAAAGAGGGAAGUGCUCAUGCCAUUGUACAGAACACUGGUGAGACCUCACUUGGAGUAUUGUACACAGUACUGGAGACCGUAUCUUCAGAAGGAUAUUGAUACUUAAGAGAGAGUUCAGAGGAGGGCUACUAAACUGGUUCAUGGAUUGCAGGAUAAAACUUACCAGGAAAGGUUAAAGGAUCUUAACAUGUAUAGCUUGGAGGAAAGGCAAGACAGGGAGGAUAUGAUAUAAACAUUUAAAUACAUAAAGGGAACACAGUAAAGGAGGAGACUAGAUUUAAAAGAAGACAACAAGAGGACAUAGAGUGAAAUUAGAGGGGCAAAGGUUUAAAAAUAAUUUCAGGAAGUAUUACUUUACAGAGAGGGUAGUGGAUGCAUGGAAUAGCCUUCCAGCUGAAGUGGUAGAGGUUAACACAGUGAAGGAGUUUAAGCAUGCGUGGGAUAGGCAUAAGGCUAUCCUAGCUAUAAGAUAAGGCCAGGGACUAAUGAAAGUAUUUAAUAAAUUGGACAGACUAGAUGGGCCGAAUGGUUCUUAUCUGCCAUCGACUCACAUUCUAUACGGAGGACCAUCGAAGUAGAAAUCAACCAAUGUUUUCUUGAGGUGGAGCAAUUACGGGACCUUUCCAUUGAAACUUUGACUCAGAAUAUUGCUUUUGUACAUUAACACCUUCAUGCCUAUCUGGGCUGUGAAGAUUAUUUUCUCUAGGGUACAGAGCUGGCCGCUUGAAAUUCAACUGAGGUUUUGUACUUAGAUAAUAUUUUCGCAGUGUGCUGCUCCUCGGGUCUCUAAUCAUGUCUGCAAACUCUAAAGGGCUAUUAAAUCUGGUGCAGGGUAAGAAAUAUCAGUUUGUUUUCUUGUAUUAAGCUGCAGGUGUUUCGUGCAUGGGCCAAUGUCAUUUUUUAUUCUAGGAGCAUAUUCCCCUUCUACCAGGGAACAUUCCUAUAGCCGAGGCUCUCACCACCAGACAAAGAGCCAUCCUGACAUUUCUCCAGCUAAUUAAUCAUACCAGUACUAACUCAAUUAGACCCGGUGCCUCUAAGAUCCUAAUAUCUGGGGAAUAAGUAGGGUUGAGUAAUUAAAUGCUUAUUAUAUAAAUCCUAAUGAGAGCUGGAGAAGGGUGGAAUGUGAAAUAUUAUAGGAACUCAGAUAGCCACAGGGAUACAGCACUCUUUCUGUACCAACUCGAGGAGACAAGUAUUGUAGAAGCCAAUUAACCAUAUCACAGCCUAUACAGCAAUGUAGGAGCUUGCAGGGCCAUCAAAGUAACAUUUCAAGCAAGAAAAUAACACACAGUUAUUAAUUAAUCAUGCGAUACGGUAAUGUUAACAGGCAUCCUGUCAUGCGGAGAGAAAUAACAUUGUACAAAUAUAAUAAAGAAUUAUUGUCAAAAUUUUAGAAUUUUUAUAAGAGAUCUAUAUUAAAAGCUGAUGUAUACUUUGUCUCUGUGCACCCACCUCACUGCAUGUCGUUUGGCAGCUGUUAUACUGUAUAGAUUGAGACCAGCUGAAGACAUUACAGAAUAAUAUGUUUUCAGGUGUGUAGCAAACUGACAUAUUUAAAAGAACAGAAACAGAAAGGAAUUCAGCAAGCGUUCAGAAAGCAGGCCAAUCACGAAAUCUCUUGUCUGGUAGAAAAUUGAAAACGCAGGAAGGUAAGUAUAGCGCCUAGGGUGUCCUUGAGGAUACAUAUUAAAAAGAGAAGGGAAAGAACAAAUAGUGUAUUACAUAAAAUAUGAUUGAGAAAAGAUAGAAAUAGUUCACUCACACUUUUCAGGAGCUUAGGUUUAGCUCCAACUUAAACGCUUGGAUAUAAUCCACGUCUAUGGAUAUAACGUGGUGAAAGAAUUUGCGUAUAGUCCUCUUGGCAGUAUAUAUGUGGAGGAAAAUCAAAAUAACACAGUGUAGUAUGCCCAAUCAAGUAGCAGCAAUACAGUAAUAAAAAAAAUAUGCACUCACAUAUAUUGGAGCCUGAACAGUGGCUCCACAGGUAUAGCUUGAAGUGGUAUGAUCCCCACUCUAGUAUAUAGGUGACAUAGGUGUCACCUAUAUAUCUCUGUAUGUAAAAGAGAAAUAAAACCACAAUAGUUCAGAUACAUUAAGGAAAAUUGUUUCAUACUUAAUUUCAUAAUUUUAAUUUCCUGAUCAUUAUUCAUGGCAGCAUUUACUCUUGGGUUAGUUCCUCCCCUCACAGCAGAAAAGACAGGAAAUAGAACUCUGAAACUGGUAUAAAUAGAUCCUCCCGCUUCCCAUCAGGCAGUCUUUGUAACUAGUUUCAUAACUCCUAUAGUAUAUGGGUGGGAACCAGGGGCGUACCUAGGGCAUGUGGCACCCGGGCGGGUCCUGGGUUUGGCACCCCCCCUACUAAACUUUUUAAAAUGUGUUAUAUUUUUAACAUUUUUUAAAAAAUUUAUUGAACAAAUUUGUAAACUUUUUAAAACCCCUGCCCCCCUCUACAAAAUCCCUGCACCCCCUCCCACACAGUUACAGGCAGACAGUCACACAUAGUUACAAGCAGUCACACGCACACAGUCACAUGCAGACAGUCACACAUAUAGUCACAGGCGGUCAUAUACACAGUUACAGGUAGAGAGUUACACACAAACACAGUCAGUUACAAGCAGUUACACACAGUCACGCACACUGUUACAGGCAGACAGUCACAUAUACAGUCACACACACGGUCACAGGUAGACAGUCAUACACAUAGUUACAGCCACAAACACACACAGUUACAGACAGUUACACACACAGUCAGUUACAGGCAGCCACGCACAAAGUUACAUGCAGACAGUCACAGGCAGACAGUAACACACAGUUACAGGCAGCAUCACACAGUCACAGGCAGACUGUCACACAUAGUCACAGACAGUCACACACACACACACACACACACAGUGACAGGCAUGCAGUCACACACACAUACACACACAGUUACAGGUAGACAGUUAUGCACACACAGUUACAGGUAGACAGUUACUCACAUACACACAGUUACAGGUAGACAGUUACGCACACACACAGUUACAGGCAGACAGUUACACACACACACACACACACACAUAUUUACAGGCAGACAGUUAUACACACACACAAGACAGACAGUCACACACACACACACACAGUUACAGACAGACAGUCACACACGCACACACAGUUACAGACAGUCACACACACACAGUUACAGACAGUCUCUCUCACACACACACAGUUACAGACAGACAGUCACACAUGCACACACACACACACAGUUACAGACAGGCAGUCUCACACACCCACACACACACAGUUUCAGGCAGUUACACACACACACACACACACAGUUUCAGGCAGACAGUUACACACAGACACACACACACACCUUCAGGCAGUUACACACACACACUCUUAUACUUACAGACAGUGUGUGCUGGAGGAGUGGAUUCACCAGCCUGAAGUCCUUCCCUGGAGCCUGGUAGGUGGAGGAGCAGGGAUUUCUGCUUGCUGCACCUCCAUGUGCAGCAGUUACUUACAGCAGCUUGUAAGGGCUGUGUUAAGCCCCGCCACCCACUCACGGUUAGGCUCCGUCCCUAAACGGCCGUAGUUCCCCUUCUUCUUCCUCCCGUGCGGCCAGUUCAUCUUGCUGGUUUCUCCAUGUGAGCUGUGUGACACCCCAGCUGCCAUGGGGCACAGCUCACACAGCCCCAAGACCAGGGUUAAGGCACCCCCCUACCAGGUGGCACCCGGGGUGGACCGCCCCCUCCUUAGUCCGCCACUGGUGGGAACGUAAUGCUGCCAUGAAUAAUGAUCAGGAAAAGAAAAUUACAGUAAGUAUGAAACAAUUUUCCUUAUUCCUGAUCAAUCAUGGCAGCAUUUACUCAUGGGUAAUACCCAAGCAGUAUAUAUAGAGGGAGGGACAAAGUUCAAAAACAGCUAAUAGCUAUAAAACCAUUAUUGAGCUGCAUAAACCUUAGAAGACUUUUAAAAAAGCCAAACAAGUAAUCUAUAGGAAAUUGUCAUAAAAUCUGUUCAGACAAGUUAAUUUACCCUAGAGGGUGCUAGACCAGCAACCCCCUGGCAUUCAAAUGUCUGAAAUAUCCUGGAGAAAUAUAGAGCCAGAUAGGAAUUAAGGCCACGAUAGCCAAACCUACAGAAUGAACAAGGUUAGACUAAUACAAGACAAACCAUCGUAAGAAAUAAGGAACCCAUCUUUAAAUUUAGAGCACCUCCACGAAACCCAGACAAGGUCUAGAAAUUAUAGAUUGCCUGAUGGGAAGGGGGAUGAUCUAUAUAUACCAAUUUAUACCAGUUUCAGAGUUCUAUUUCCUGUCCUUUCUGCUGUGAGGGGAGGAGCUAACCCAUGAGUAAAUGCUGCCAUGAAUGAUCAAGAAAUGAGUAAUGUCUGGAAGUCAGCAAUUUUUGAAUGCGUUUACUGUGUGUAACAGUGUCAAAUACUUUGCCGUAAUCAUAAUAAACUUCAUCAACUGCCUUACUGUGGCCUAUUAUGUUAGUUACAAUGCUGAAGAAUGUACUCUGCUUGUACACAAUAAUUACACAAUGCAUGCUUUGUUUUCAAGGGAGGGGUGAGCACUUGAGAUCCAAGGAAGUUAAACGCUAAUGUUUAAUGUGGAAAUAAUCAACAUGUACAUAAUUAGCAAAAUGAAUGAUUGUGAAUUAGCUUUAUUGAUACCAACUGGUUUAUUUUAAAAAAACCCCAUUAAAUAUAGUAAAUGGAAUGCAUUUAUUUUAUUUUUCAGAUUUAAUGGCACAGACCGAGAUUCGUUAACUCUUCAAGUACGACUGAGCAUCUAGAAAUGCAAUGGGCAAUUGGAUAUUGCUGACCAGCCUUAUGGCUGAUGAUGAUCGGGAUCUUAUUUCCAGAAAACAAGUCUGUGCUAUUGCGGGAGCUCUGAAUAUUAUCUGAUUAUUUUUUCCCCAGUGAGCCAGGAAAACAGUACACACGUGUUCUUGAAAGUAUUAUACCGAGAACAUUGUGGCUCUCUGGGUUGGUCAGAAUUUUACCUAUAUCGAUUGUAGAGUCCAUACUUAUUCCAUUUCAACAAGUAUGUGAAUGGCACUCAAUGGGAAAAUAGACCAACCAUGAUAUUCCCUUUCUUCUACUGCUUGACUGGCACUCAAUGGGCAAAUAUCAAAUGGGUUAGGGUCUACUCAGCUGCUAGGACAGAAAAUAUGCUUUGAAUGGUAUAUAUUAUUACUUCGAAAGCUGCAAUAUAUUCUGCAACACAGUACAAUAAUUUGCUCUCUGAAGUAAUUUUUUUAUUUUGUACUCUACUUGGCCUCACAGGCUGUUUUCACAUUUUAACAAAAUGGUAUAUACAAAACAUUAUUGCUGAUUUAAUUUUUCUUUUCUCCAUUUUUUUCUCCUCUUCCAUUUUUGUCUGUACUAAUAGGUAAAUGCGGGGUCACCAAGCUGAUGGGGUAAACGAAGAGCAAAUAGACUGACACAUUUCACCUCUGGAGCUGAGUCAUCAGCAUAAUGCCCUCCUGGAAGGGUUCAGCAUUUCUCCUUUGAGUGACCCAGAACAUGAUGAAAUGUUACACCCUUGGGUCUCUUUACCCCCUAUUAAAAUUACAGGGGCAAGGAGAGUUACACUACAAUUGAUAUUUGCUGUUAAAUAAUGACAUCCCAUGUGUAAUAUCUUCCAUUUACAAUAAUAUCUUGCUGUUUUGGUUUUGCAAAAUUAGAUAUUUCCUUUAAAGACUACACAUGCAAGUCUAAAUAUUGUGUAUGCAAGCCUUAGAUGGUGUGUCCAUUCAAGUACAAAGGAAAUUAGGAUUGCUGUGAUGGUUCCAGUCUUGGGCAAUCAAUAUCUCAUUCAAACACAACAUUUUUGGGUCACUGAAACCUUUGGGUUAGAUUUUUCUUUUUAAAAGCCUGCCUGUGGCAUACAGGAAUUUUUGUCUCAGGAUAAAAAAAUAUAAAAUGAAGUAUGAAUCACUUUCAAAGAUAGCAGAACCUGCAGACCAAGUAACUAAUAUUCAAUUGGAACAACAGGUGCACGAGGAUUGUGUCAUUUCAAAAAUGUGUCUUCAUUUCACGGCAGUCAGAAACAUUUCUGAAUGAGGCUUAUCUUGGGUCCAUGUGGUAUGGACAAGAUGUGUUAUGUUUGGAACAUCUGGACAUACAUCUUAUCCAGAUGUUCCUCAUGGGUGUUAUUGGUGAUUCAGAAAGGGUAUUGUCUGGGGUAUUCAAAUUCUUUAGGGAUUCAUUAUUUGCCUUCUCCUAGGGAAAGAGAUCCAAGGACUUGUCAUGCACCAGUACUUUGCAAGUCUGCUCAAAGAAAGGAUAAUUAUGAAGGAACCCACUUGAGAAGAAAAUCCAUGUCUGUUGUCUAUUUUCCACUUUUUAAAAUUAAAGGAAACCCCUUAGACAACUGAAACGUAGUCCCUAAUUUACAUUGGGUCAGUGCAUGUCUAGACUAGAUAUUUCACAGUGGAAUUAUGGCUACUAUUACUCUAGAUGUCCAACCUUAUGACUUGAUGGUCUCUGUAGACCCUUGAUGUAAUGUAUUGCCACAUUGUAAUAGCUCCAGCACGACUCAUAUUAUUUCAUUUGUAUUCAUUUUUCCAUUCAGUUUUCAAUUCCAUUCAGUUGUGCUUUAAACUCGGCAUCGUAUGGACUUGUAGCCAAUCCCUAUCUGAGAUGUAUAUAAUUCACUAAUUGAUGAACACAAAAGGGAAACAUUUAAGUACUUAAUAAUGUUAACAAAAUAUUUUCUGCAGUUAGACAAUUGUGUAAUAUUUGUUUUAUGUAUGAUCCCUAAUGGACUGUUGUUUGCUUUUACUUAUUGGUUAGUUCAGAUUACUUCAACAAGUGACAUAUACAGCAUGGUUCUAUGUUCAAGCAUAGUAGAAAGGCAAAUAAUAUUGUAUAUUUUUAUAGUUAUUUCAUGUCACUCAGAAUAUCAAUGAGCAUUGUAGGCGCCACCCUCACUAAGUAAAUCCAGUUAAAGGUGUUUUGCAUUUAUAAAUCAUUUUUUAGGAAAACCUGUUAUUUUUUUCAUUAAUAUCUCAAAUUAAAGUUUACAUGUUAUAUAGACUUGUGCAUUAUUUUCCAAAGAAUAAAUAAAUGUUAAUAAACUUUUCUCAUGGAAGCCAUAUUUAUUAGCCCUCUUUGGUCAGAUGCAUUUGUCAACCAAGGAGAACUUCGAGAUGUAAGGGUACAUAGAGCAAGGGUGGGCCAAGAGUGGUACUGAAAAGAGGCAUUCACUUAUAUGAUAGCAUUACAAAAUAAUGCACGCCGAGGCUACAAUACAUGUAAUCUUUUAUUUGAAGUCAUUUUUAAAUUCAAUGCACAAAUGUAUAAAUAUUAUGGUUACAUAAGCCAUCUGGAUUCUUGCAUGAGAAUACAGCUCAAUGGCAAAUCUACUGAAAGCUAUCAGACGUUCUUGGGAGAACAUUCUCACCUGGCAACAGCUGUUCCACUAGGGUGAAGAUGAAUAGUUG
Non-coding RNA from Pelobates cultripes (western spadefoot toad), 39437 nucleotides. Lineage: Eukaryota; Metazoa; Chordata; Amphibia; Anura; Pelobatidae. The record is from the annotation of a GenBank genome assembly.